Odocoileus virginianus texanus is the source of this 253-nucleotide non-coding RNA. The record is from RefSeq and is a predicted model, not a curated record. NCBI's taxonomy places the organism in Eukaryota, Metazoa, Chordata, Mammalia, Artiodactyla, Cervidae.
GUUCCCGUGAGUUCUACGCUCCCAGCACCUGAGGCUGAUGAUCCCUGUCUUCUCUCCGUCACCCACAGUCAGGGCGGUUUAGCAAGAGAUCCAGCUCCUGGAUCUGAAAUGUCCUGCCCGGGGUUGAGGAAGAUACCUUUUUUCUCCUAAAGAAACACAGUGAUACGAGCGGCGGAAGGGCGUUUGCGGCCGAACCCGCCGUCUCUCUGGGCGCUGCCCACGCCUGUACCCCUGGCCCCACGUGUCAUGGGCG